RNAcentral lists this long non-coding RNA (1134 nucleotides) under Anas platyrhynchos (mallard). RNAcentral's name for it is "lncRNA (ENSAPLG00020005994.1)". Lineage: Eukaryota; Metazoa; Chordata; Aves; Anseriformes; Anatidae. The record is from RNAcentral.
AUGGGGCCUGGGCAGGGCGCUGGGGCUGCUCGUGGUGGUGGGGAGGUGCCCCCGGGUGCUGGUGGGGGCACGGUGCACACUGGGAUGGUUUGUACGGGGGGCGCGGUGCCGAGAGCGCGUGCCCAAAGUGCUCCUUGUGCAAUGCACACGUGCCCACAGCCCUCCCCGUGCAACACACGUGUGCCCAGAGCACUCCUUGUGCAACACACGUGUGCCCAAAGUGCUCCCCAGGUGGUGUACACGCAUUGGGGCUCCACCUUGUGCAAUGCACACACACCAAAACCCUGCCUCGUGCAAUGCACACGUGCCCAGAGCCCUCCCCAUGCAACACACGUGUGCCCAAAGUGCUCCCCAGGUGGUGUGCACGCACCAGGGCCCCACCUUGUGCAAUGCACAUGCACCAAAACCCUGCCUCGUGCAGUGCAUGCACAACCAGAGCCCUCCCUGUGCAACACACACGUGUACCCAGAGCACUCCCCGUGCAACACACGUGCCCCUGGAGCCCCCCCCCAGUGCCAGGCACUCGUGCCCCGAGCAGCAACCCCCAGGCGCACAGCCGGGCGCGCGCCCCGCCACCUACCCAGCGUGUUGGCGAUCCCCGUCUUGACGCUGGAGGUGCUGACGUGGCUGAUGCGGUUCUCGUGCUCCGGUUUCACCAGCACCACCACUUUGAUGUUCCACAGGGACUGCAUGGCCACCUGGGGGGCCGCGGGCCGUGAGACCCCACGGAGGACACCCCACGGAGAGGGACCCCCCGCCCCGAGCCGUGACCGAGCCGCGGUGCGCACCGGGCACCAACACAGCCACUCCUGGCUGCACCCACGCUGCCAGCAGCCCCCUCCGCUGCCCCCUGCACCCCAAAAGUGGGCUCCUGCCACGUGGCAAACGAGCGGUGGCAGGGGGUGGCCACGGCACCAUGGGGACCACGACAUCUCCAAGCACCCCAGCACCGCGUGCGCCCACCCCGAAGCACCCGGUGCCGGCACAGCCAGGGUACCCCCAGCUCCCCAGGGUGGGGGACAGGGGGCUCCUACCGGGCGGUACUCGAUCUCGGUGAAGUCCUUGAGGACGGCCCGGAGGAAAUCCACCCACUCCUUGUCCCCCGUGGAGUUCUCCUGCGUGCCGAAGACGUAG